Molecule: ribosomal RNA, 459 nt
Filed under: uncultured bacterium
Lineage: Bacteria
Description: partial 16S ribosomal RNA
Rfam family: Bacterial small subunit ribosomal RNA
Source: RNAcentral
CCUACGGGUGGCUGCAGUGAGGAAUAUUGGUCAAUGGCCGCAAGCCUGAACCAGCCAAGCCGCGUGAGGGAAGACGGCCCUAAGCAUCGCAAACCUCUUUUGUCGGGGAACAAAAGACCCCACGCGUCGCGUUCCGAGAGUACCCGAAGAAAAAGCAUCGGCUAACUCCGUGCCAGCAGCCGCGGUAAUACGGAGGAUGCGAGCGUUAUCCGGAUUCAUUGUGUUUAAAGGGUGCGCAGGCGGGAGAUCAAGUCAGCGGUAAAAUUGAGGGGCUCAACCUCUCCGAGCCGUUGGAACUGGGGUCCUUGAGUGAGCGAGAGGUAUGCGGAAUGCGUGGUGUAGCGGUGAAAUGCAUAGAUAUCACGCAGAACUCCGAUUGCGAAGGCAGCGUGCCGGGGCGCAACUGACGCUGAGGCACGAAAGUGUGGGUAUCGAACAGGAUUAGAUACCCUGGUAGUC